GCGGAGAAUGCACAUGAACAAACUUCUUUUGGAGGGGGAGAAGAGAAAAGAGAGACGCGAGAAGUUGCUACUCCAUAGAUACGGUUAUACAGGACUGGCUUGUUUUCGGCUUGGUUCUAUCCCCACGCCUUCCCCAAGCACAUAGGGGGCCUCCAUUUUGCUUUGUAGCCUGGCAUCAUCCCCUCUACCCUCUGAGAAUCUCCCCAGUUGUGUGGCUCCCUUGUACAUGAGUACAGGGCCCUUGUUGUAACAGAGGGAUAGUGUUAACUUAUUGAGUUCACCAUGAGAGACAAGAAGGAUGACAAGGGGAAAUUACAGAACCUCAAGCAGGAGCUUGAGCUGGAUGUUCAUCGAAUCGAUAUCGAGGAGCUCUGCAAACGGUUCAACACCAAUCUGAACAAUGGCUUGACCAAGAGGCAAGCCGAGGAGAAUUUGAGCAAAUAUGGUCGCAACGCCCUCACCCCGCCUCCCACCACCCCGGAAUGGAUCAAGUUCUGCAACAACUUGUUCGGUGGAUUCUCCCUGUUGCUUUGGUUUGGAGCUAUCCUCUGCUUCAUCGCUUACUCGAUUCAGGCAGGAGCUUAUGAGGAACCUCCAGAUGAUAACUUGUACCUGGGUAUUGUCUUGACCGUGGUCGUGAUCGUGACUGGCGUUUUCUCCUACUACCAAGAGUCCAAGUCCUCCAAGAUUAUGGAAUCCUUCAAGAAUCUCGUGCCCCAAUAUGCUUUGGCUCUCCGUGACGGUGAGAAGCUCACCAUCAAGGCUGAGGAACUCACUUUGGGAGACAUCAUCGAGGUCAAGUUUGGCGACAGAGUACCGGCUGAUAUUCGAGUGGUUGAGGCACGAGGCUUCAAGGUCGACAACUCUUCUCUUACCGGAGAAUCUGAACCCCAAGCCAGAAGCGCCGAAUUCACGCAUGAAAAUCCCUUGGAGACCAAGAACUUGGCCUUUUUCUCGACCAACGCUGUGGAAGGAACUGCCCGAGGUAUUGUCGUCAACAUUGGCGACAACACUGUCAUGGGACGUAUUGCUGGUUUGGCCUCUGGUUUGGAGAGUGGAGACACGCCCAUUGCCAAAGAGAUUGCCCAUUUCAUUCACAUUAUCACUGGUGUGGCCGUGUUCUUGGGAGUCACCUUCUUCAUCAUUGCCUUCGUUUUGGAAUACCAUUGGUUGGAUGCCGUCAUCUUCUUGAUUGGUAUCAUUGUCGCUAACGUGCCAGAGGGCUUUUUGGCCACUGUCACCGUGUGCUUGACUCUGACCGCCAAGCGAAUGGCCUCCAAGAAUUGCUUGGUCAAGAAUUUGGAAGCUGUGGAGACCUUGGAUCCACCUCAACCAUUUGCUCUGACAGAACUGGAACACUCACCCAAAAUCGAAUGACUGUCGCUCACAUGUGGUUUGACAAUCAGAUCGUCGAGGCUGAUACCUCUGAGGACCAAACUGGAUCAUCCAACUACAAGACCCUGCCUGGAUGGAAGCCACUGGAACGUAUUGGUACCCUUUGCAAUCGCGCUGAGUUUAAGCCCGGUCAAGCUGGUGUGUUCUGUCUUGAAGCGAGAGGUCAAUGGCGAUGCUUCCGAAGCUGCCAUUCUGAAAUGUACUGAAUUGUCGACUGGCGAUGCCAUGGCUUACCGCAACAAGCAUAAGAAAGUAUGUGAGGUCCCUUUCAACUCUACCAACAAGUACCAGGUGUCCAUCCACGAAGUUGAGGGCAAAGAUAGUUAUCUUUUGGUCAUGAAGGGCGCCCCUGAGAGGAUUCUUGAUCGAUGCUCCACGAUUUUGAUCGAUGGCGAGGAAUUAGAAAUGUCUCAAGAAUGGAAAGAUAACUUCAACAACGCUUACAUGGAAUUGGGAGGUUUGGGAGAGCGUGUGCUCGGCUUCUGUGACUUUGAAUUGCCUGCCAACAAGUUCCCUAAGGGCUAUCCCUUCAACCAAGACGACAUCAACUUCCCCAUUGAGGGACUUCGAUUCAGUGGUCUCAUGUCCAUGAUUGAUCCUCCCGUGCUGCCGUCCCGACGCCGUGGCGAAGUGCCGAUCGGCAGGUAUCAAAGUUAUCAUGGUUACUGGUGAUCACCCCAUCACUCCAAGGCCAUUGCCAAGUCUGUCGGAAUCAUUUCUGAAGGAAACGAAACUGUUGAGGAUAUCGCGAACGCCAAGGCAUCCCCGUGGACAAGGUUAAUCCUCGUGACGCUCGUGCUGCCGUGGUUCAUGGUGGAGAAUUGAAGGACAUCACCGAAGAUCAAUUGGAUGAAAUUUUGAUGUAUCACACUGAAAUUGUAUUCGCCCGUACCUCUCCCCAACAGAAGCUGAUCAUUGUCGAAGGUUGUCAGAGAAUGGGAGCCAUUGUGGCUGUCACUGGCGAUGGUGUGAAUGACUCCCCCGCCUUGAAGAAGGCCGAUAUUGGUGUGGCCAUGGUAUCGCGCGAUCCGAUGUGUCCAAGCAAGCCGCUGACAUGAUCUUGUUGGACGACAACUUUGCCUCCAUCGUAACUGGCGUUGAAGAGGGUCGCUUGAUCUUUGACAACUUGAAGAAAUCCAUUGCCUACACUUUGACCUCCAACAUUCCCGAGAUCUCUCCUUUCUUGUUGUUCAUCUUGGCUGAUGUGCCCCUCCCUCUUGGAACUGUCACCAUCCUCUGUAUCGAUUUGGGAACCGACAUGGUGCCCGCCAUCUCCAUGGCCUACGAAGAAGCUGAAUCCGACAUCAUGAAGCGACAACCCCGUAACCCCUUCACAGACAAACUCGUCAAUGAGCGCUUGAUUUCCAUGGCCUACGGUCAGAUUGGUAUGAUUCAGGCCUCAGCCGGGUUCUUUGUCUACUUCGUCAUUUUGGCCGAGAAUGGCUUCCUCCCUAGCCGACUCUUUGGUCUCCGCCGUGCUUGGGAUUCUCAGGCUGUGAACGAUCUCGAGGAUUCCUAUGGUCAAGAAUGGACCUACAGGGACCGAAAGGUGCUCGAGUACACUUGUCAUACUGCUUUCUUCGUCUCCAUUGUCAUCGUCCAAUGGGCCGAUUUGAUCAUCUGUAAGACUCGUCGUCUCUCCGUGUUCCAACAGGGAAUGAAGAAUCACUUCAUGAACUUCGGUCUGGUCUUCGAGACCGUACUGGCCGCUUUCCUAUGCUAUACACCUGGCAUGGACAAGGGCUUGAGAAUGUACCCGUUGAAGUUCAACUGGUGGUUGCCCGCCCUUCCAUUCUCCCUGCUCAUCUUUGUCUACGACGAGAGCCGUAAAUACAUCCUGCGUCACCAACCUCAUGGAGCUUGGUUGGAGAGAGAGACCUACUACUAAAGGUCUUCCCGAUCUCGAGUACACGCGGCUUGGGUAAAACUCCAGGAAUGGAGAAAUUAUUGUGUCUUCCAGUUUCAUAGGGGAUGUAAGAACCACGGUGAGCUCCUAAUGUGGGAAAUCAUUGUGGCAUUCUAAAGAGGAAACUCCAGAGACUCGAUACAUUUUUCCCAUCACCUUGGCUUGUUCACCAUUAAGUGCCUUACGGAUGAACCCUGUCUUCCCAACAAGAUUGCCUGAAUCGGAGCGAUUAAAAGACGUGUCAAAUUUCCUUUUGUUGUUUUCGCACCCAUUGCAUUACAAAACCAAUUGACCAAGUGGUAUUUCAAGAAAUAAAUAUUAAGCAACGCA
Tigriopus californicus is the source of this 3631-nucleotide RNA transcript. It is a transcript of the gene named sodium/potassium-transporting ATPase subunit alpha-like, with no coding region annotated. NCBI's taxonomy places the organism in Eukaryota, Metazoa, Arthropoda, Copepoda, Harpacticoida, Harpacticidae. The transcript is spliced from 2 exons. The record is from RefSeq and is a predicted model, not a curated record.